This 464-nucleotide ribosomal RNA is filed under the name uncultured bacterium. RNAcentral describes it as "partial 16S ribosomal RNA". It matches the Rfam family "Bacterial small subunit ribosomal RNA", at positions 28 to 507 of the family's 1533-position model. The record is from RNAcentral.
GACGAACGCUGGCGGCGUGCUUAACACAUGCAAGUCGAACGGUAAGGCCCCAGCUUGCUGGGGUACACGAGUGGCGAACGGGUGAGUAACACGUGGGUGACCUGCCCCGCACUUCGGGAUAAGCCUGGGAAACUGGGUCUAAUACCGGAUAGGACCGCACCGUGAGGGUGUGGUUGAAAGUUUUUCGGUGUGGGAUGGGCCCGCGGCCUAUCAGCUUGUUGGUGGGGUAAUGGCCUACCAAGGCGGCGACGGGUAGCCGGCCUGAGAGGGUGGACGGCCACAUUGGGACUGAGACACGGCCCAGACUCCUACGGGAGGCAGCAGUGGGGAAUAUUGCACAAUGGGCGGAAGCCUGAUGCAGCGACGCCGCGUGGGGGAUGACGGCCUUCGGGUUGUAAACUCCUUUCACCAUCGACGAAGGUUUUCUGACGGUAGAUGGAGAAGAAGCACCGGCUAACUACGUG